CCUACGGGAGGCAGCAGUGGGGAAUUUUGGACAAUGGGCGCAAGCCUGAUCCAGCCAUUCCGCGUGAGUGAAGAAGGCCUUCGGGUUGUAAAGCUCUUUCGCAAGGGAAGAAACGUUACGGGCGAAUAACCCGUGAUAAUGACGGUACCUUGAUAAGAAGCACCGGCUAACUACGUGCCAGCAGCCGCGGUAAUACGUAGGGUGCAAGCGUUAAUCGGAAUUACUGGGCGUAAAGCGUGCGCAGGCGGUUUUUGUAAGUCAGAUGUGAAAUCCCCGAGCUCAACUUGGGAACUGCGUUUGAAACUACAAGGCUAGAAUAUGUCAGAGGGGGGUAGAAUUCCACGUGUAGCAGUGAAAUGCGUAGAGAUGUGGAGGAAUACCAAUGGCGAAGGCAGCCCCCUGGGAUAAUAUUGACGCUCAUGCACGAAAGCGUGGGGAGCAAACAGGAUUAGAUACCCUGGUAGUCCACGCCCUAAACGAUGUCUACUAGUUGUUGGUGGAGUAAAAUCCAUGAGUAACGCAGCUAACGCGUGAAGUAGACCGCCUGGGGAGUACGGUCGCAAGAUUAAAACUUCAAAGGAAUUGAGNGNGNGAGNGCGAGACGACGACGAGGAGAGG
RNAcentral lists this ribosomal RNA (618 nucleotides) under uncultured bacterium. Its description in RNAcentral is "bacterial SSU rRNA". It matches the Rfam family "Bacterial small subunit ribosomal RNA", at positions 338 to 946 of the family's 1533-position model. The record is from RNAcentral.